RNAcentral lists this ribosomal RNA (468 nucleotides) under uncultured bacterium. RNAcentral's name for it is "partial 16S ribosomal RNA". It matches the Rfam family "Bacterial small subunit ribosomal RNA", at positions 28 to 507 of the family's 1533-position model. The record is from RNAcentral.
GACGAACGCUGGCGGCGUGCUUAACACAUGCAGGUCGAACGGAAAGGCCCUGCUUUUGUGGGGUGCUCGAGUGGCGAACGGGUGAGUAACACGUGAGUAACCUGCCCUUGACUUUGGGAUAACUUCAGGAAACUGGGGCUAAUACCGGAUAGGAGCUCCUGCUGCAUGGUGGGGGUUGGAAAGUUUCGGCGGUUGGGGAUGGACUCGCGGCUUAUCAGCCUGUUGGUGGGGUAGUGGCUUACCAAGGCUUUGACGGGUAGCCGGCCUGAGAGGGUGACCGGCCACAUUGGGACUGAGAUACGGCCCAGACUCCUACGGGAGGCAGCAGUGGGGAAUAUUGCACAAUGGGCGGAAGCCUGAUGCAGCAACGCCGCGUGCGGGAUGACGGCCUUCGGGUUGUAAACCGCUUUCGCCUGUGACGAAGCGUGAGUGACGGUAAUGGGUAAAGAAGCACCGGCUAACUACGUG